CCUACGGGAGGCAGCAGUGGGGAAUAUUGGGCAAUGGGCGCAAGCCUGACCCAGCAACGCCGCGUGAAGGACGACGGCUUUCGGGUUUUAAACUUCUUUUCUCAGCGACGAAGCAAGUGACGGUACCUGAGGAUUAAGCCACGGCUAACUACGUGCCAGCAGCCGCGGUAAUACGUAGGUGGCAAGCGUUAUCCGGAUUUACUGGGUGUAAAGGGCGUGUAGGCGGGAAAGCAAGUCAGAUGUGAAAUCCAUGUGCUCAACCUGUGGCCUGCAUUUGAAACUGUUUUUCUUGAGUACUGGUGAGGCAGACGGAAUGCGUAGUGUAGCGGUGAAAUGCGUAGAUAUUAGGAGGAACACCAGUGGCGAAGGCGGUCUGCUGGACAGCAACUGACGCUGAGGCGCGAAAGCGUGGGGAGCGAACAGGAUUAGAUACCCGAGUAGUC
RNAcentral lists this ribosomal RNA (443 nucleotides) under uncultured bacterium. RNAcentral's name for it is "partial 16S ribosomal RNA". It matches the Rfam family "Bacterial small subunit ribosomal RNA", at positions 338 to 795 of the family's 1533-position model. The record is from RNAcentral.